GUUGCGCCCGAGGCCUUUGGCCGAGGGCACGUCUGCCUGGGCGUCACGCAACGU
Molecule: ribosomal RNA, 54 nt
Filed under: Scleromitrion pinifolium
Lineage: Eukaryota; Viridiplantae; Streptophyta; Magnoliopsida; Gentianales; Rubiaceae
Description: partial 5.8S ribosomal RNA
Source: RNAcentral